This 372-nucleotide ribosomal RNA is filed under the name uncultured organism. Its description in RNAcentral is "partial 16S ribosomal RNA". It matches the Rfam family "Bacterial small subunit ribosomal RNA", at positions 527 to 896 of the family's 1533-position model. The record is from RNAcentral.
GUAGGUGGCAAGCGUUGUCCGGAAUCAUUGGGCGUAAAGCGCGUGCAGGCGGUCCUUUAAGUCUGAUGUGAAAGCCCACGGCUCAACCGUGGGGGGUCAUUGGAAACUGGGGGACUUGAGUACAGAAGAGGAAAGCGGAAUUCCAAGUGUAGCGGUGAAAUGCGUAGAGAUUUGGAGGAACACCAGUGGCGAAGGCGGCUUUCUGGUCUGUAACUGACGCUGAGGCGCGAAAGCGUGGGGAGCAAACAGGGAUUAGAUACCCUGGUAGUCCACGCCGUAAACGAUGAGUGCUAAGUGUUAGGGGGUUUCCCGCCCCUUAGUGCUGUAGCUAACGCAUUAAGCACUCCGCCUGGGGAUACGGCCGCAAGGCUG